UACGUAGGGUGCAAGCGUCAAUCGGAAUUACUGGGCGUAAAGCGUGCGCAGGCGGCUUUGUAAGACGGAUGUGAAAGCCCCGGGCUCAACCUGGGAAGUGCAUUCGUGACUGCAAGGCUAGAGUGUGUCAGAGGGAGGUGGAAUUCCGCGUGUAGCAGUGAAAUGCGUAGAGAUGCGGAGGAACACCGAUGGCGAAGGCAGCCUCCUGGGAUAACACUGACGCUCAGGCACGAAAGCGUGGGGAGCAAACAGG
Molecule: ribosomal RNA, 253 nt
Filed under: uncultured bacterium
Lineage: Bacteria
Description: partial 16S ribosomal RNA
Rfam family: Bacterial small subunit ribosomal RNA
Source: RNAcentral